AAUGGGUUAACAUAAUUAAACACAGGCAGUAAAAAUACAGUUUUUACCCAUACCCUGUAACUUUAAAACUACACAUCCAAUCUUCAUAACAAUUACAUAUUUAUAAUCAAUCCAUUCAGGGGAGCAACAUAUUAAAAAAUGGCACAAAUCAGACAAGGGGUUCAAAAGUUAGCAAAAGUAUAUUUUGGGGCCUGGCUGGCAGCAUGGUUAUCUGGCCCAAACCGGUUUUACAGAGC
This is a non-coding RNA of Pelobates cultripes (western spadefoot toad), 236 nucleotides long. Lineage: Eukaryota; Metazoa; Chordata; Amphibia; Anura; Pelobatidae. The record is from the annotation of a GenBank genome assembly.